GUCAAUGAUGAAAAAGCAUCAAUGAUAAGUGGCUCUGAAACAAGUGACUCAGAAGAAAUACAAUUAAACUCACAGAUUAAUAAGUUUGGUAUAGAUGAGAUUCUGAGA
RNAcentral lists this small nucleolar RNA (108 nucleotides) under Cryptosporidium parvum Iowa II. The record is from RNAcentral. Lineage: Eukaryota; Apicomplexa; Conoidasida; Eucoccidiorida; Cryptosporidiidae.